AACGAACGCUGGCGGCAUGCCUAACACAUGCAAGUCGAACGAGACCUUCGGGUCUAGUGGCGCACGGGUGCGUAACGCGUGGGAACCUGCCCUUAGGUUCGGAAUAACUCCCCGAAAGGGGUGCUAAUACCGGAUAAUGUCUUCGGACCAAAGAUUUAUCGCCUUUGGAUGGGCCCGCGUUGGAUUAGCUAGUUGGUAGGGUAAAAGCCUACCAAGGCGACGAUCCAUAGCUGGUCUGAGAGGAUGAUCAGCCACACUGGGACUGAGACACGGCCCAGACUCCUACGGGAGGCAGCAGUGGGGAAUAUUGGACAAUGGGCGAAAGCCUGAUCCAGCAAUGCCGCGUGAGUGAUGAAGGCCUUAGGGUUGUAAAGCUCUUUUACCCGGGAUGAUAAUGGCAGUACCGGGAGAAUAAGCGCCGGCUAACUCCGUG
RNAcentral lists this ribosomal RNA (433 nucleotides) under uncultured bacterium. Its description in RNAcentral is "partial 16S ribosomal RNA". It matches the Rfam family "Bacterial small subunit ribosomal RNA", at positions 29 to 507 of the family's 1533-position model. The record is from RNAcentral.